GAUGAACGCUGGCGGCGUGCUUAACACAUGCAAGUCGAGCGAAAAUAAUUGAGAGCUUGCUUUUGAUUAUUUUAGCGGCGGACGGGUGAGUAACGUGUGGGUAACCUGCCUUUUACUGGGGAAUAAUCGUUGGAAACGACGACUAAUACCGCAUACGGUUCUUGGGAGGCAUCUUCUGAGAAAGAAAGGAAUUAUUCGGUAAAAGAUGGGCCCGCAUCUGAUUAGCUAGUUGGUGAGAUAAUAGCCCACCAAGGCAACGAUCAGUAGCCGACCUGAGAGGGUGACCGGCCACAUUGGGACUGAGACACGGCCCAAACUCCUACGGGAGGCUG
This 332-nucleotide ribosomal RNA is filed under the name uncultured Bacillota bacterium. Its description in RNAcentral is "bacterial SSU rRNA". It matches the Rfam family "Bacterial small subunit ribosomal RNA", at positions 28 to 351 of the family's 1533-position model. The record is from RNAcentral. Lineage: Bacteria; Bacillati; Bacillota.